Molecule: ribosomal RNA, 305 nt
Filed under: uncultured bacterium
Lineage: Bacteria
Description: bacterial SSU rRNA
Rfam family: Bacterial small subunit ribosomal RNA
Source: RNAcentral
ACCUACGGGGGGCAGCAGUAGGGAAUAUUGCUCAAUGGGGGAAACCCUGAAGCAGCAACGCCGCGUGGAGGAUGAAGGUUUUCGGAUUGUAAACUCCUUUUGUUAGAGAAGAUAAUGACGGUAUCUAACGAAUAAGCACCGGCUAACUCCGUGCCAGCAGCCGCGGUAAUACGGAGGGUGCAAGCGUUACUCGGAAUCACUGGGCGUAAAGAGCGCGUAGGCGGGAUAGCAAGUCAGAUGUGAAAUCCUAUGGCUCAACCAUAGAACUGCAUUUGAAACUGUUACUCUAGAGUAUGGGAGAGGUA